Molecule: small nuclear RNA, 107 nt
Filed under: Canis lupus familiaris (dog)
Lineage: Eukaryota; Metazoa; Chordata; Mammalia; Carnivora; Canidae
Also listed under: 1 other name
Source: RNAcentral
GUGCUCACUUCAGCAGCACAUAUAUUAAAAUUGGAGUGAUACACAGAAGAUUAGCAUGGCCCCUGCACAGGGAUGACACACAAAUUCAUGAAGUCUUCCAUUUUUUU